Molecule: small RNA, 126 nt
Filed under: Salmonella enterica
Lineage: Bacteria; Pseudomonadati; Pseudomonadota; Gammaproteobacteria; Enterobacterales; Enterobacteriaceae
Also listed under: 4 other names
Description: RtT sRNA
Rfam family: RtT RNA
About the family: This family represents a bacterial cis-regulatory element known as RtT RNA. The exact function of RtT is unknown although it is thought that it may be involved in changing the cellular response in relation to amino acid starvation.
Source: RNAcentral
UUGCUAUCUGCGAUAUGGAAGAUUCGAACCUGCCGCAGGUUCGGGUCUCAUGCAGUGAGACAACGGAGCCGUUUACGGCGACGGCCCGAAGGGCGAGCGAAGCGAGUCAUCCUGCACGACCCAUCA